GAUGAACGCUGGCGGCGUGCCUAAUACAUGCAAGUCGAGCGAACGGACGAGAAGCUUGCUUCUCUGAUGUUAGCGGCGGACGGGUGAGUAACACGUGGAUAACCUACCUAUAAGACUGGGAUGACUUCGGGAAACCGGAGCUAAUACCGGAUAAUAUUUUGAACCGCAUGGUUCAAAAGUGAAAGACGGUCUUGCUGUCACUUAUAGAUGGAUCCGCGCUGCAUUAGCUAGUUGGUAAGGUAACGGCUUACCAAGGCAACGAUGCGUAGCCGACCUGAGAGGGUGAUCGGCCACACUGGAACUGAGACACGGUCCAGACUCCUACGGGAGGCAGCAGUAGGGAAUCUUCCGCAAUGGGCGAAAGCCUGACGGAGCAACGCCGCGUGAGUGAUGAAGGUCUUCGGAUCGUAAAACUCUGUUAUUAGGGAAGAACAAAUGUGUAAGUAACUGUGCACAUCUUGACGGUACCUAAUCAGAAAGCCACGGCUAACUACGUG
RNAcentral lists this ribosomal RNA (497 nucleotides) under uncultured bacterium. Its description in RNAcentral is "partial 16S ribosomal RNA". It matches the Rfam family "Bacterial small subunit ribosomal RNA", at positions 28 to 507 of the family's 1533-position model. The record is from RNAcentral.